RNAcentral lists this small RNA (577 nucleotides) under Pongo abelii (Sumatran orangutan). RNAcentral's name for it is "retained intron". The record is from RNAcentral. Lineage: Eukaryota; Metazoa; Chordata; Mammalia; Primates; Hominidae.
CGACCUGCCAGGACCUGCAGAUAGAAGUGACAGUCAAAGGCCACGUCGAGUACACGAGGGAAGCAAACGAGGACUAUGAGGACUAUGAGUACGAUGAGCUUCCAGCCAAGGACGACCAGAUGCCCCUCUGCAGCCUGUGACACCCUGCAGCUGUUUGAGGGUCGGAGGAACCGCCGCAGGAGGGAGGCGCCCAAGGUGGUGGAGGAGCAGGAGUCCAGGGUGCACUACACCGUGUGCAUCUGGUGGGCACCGGGAGCUGCCCUGGCCAGGGGAGGGAGGGCAGGACCCAGGCUGGGGCUGGGCUUCUGGAGCCCGCACAGGCAGAACCUGGACGACAGCUCACAUGUCUCCACAGGCGGAAUGGCAAGGUGGGACUGUCUGGCAUGGCCAUCGCGGACAUCACCCUCCUGAGUGGAUUCCACGCCUGCGUGCUGACCUGGAGAAGGUGUGGUCAACCACCCAGGGCAACCCCUCUGCCCCAGGUACUGAGCCUGUCAUGUGCAGGGCCUGUGACCAACUCCCCUUUUCCACAGCUGACCUCCCUCUCUGACCGUUACGUGAGUCACUUUGAGACCGA